Molecule: ribosomal RNA, 534 nt
Filed under: uncultured bacterium
Lineage: Bacteria
Description: bacterial SSU rRNA
Rfam family: Bacterial small subunit ribosomal RNA
Source: RNAcentral
AAUAGAUACCCCGGUAGUCCACGCCGUAAACGAUGAGUACUAAGUGUUGGGACCAAGUCUCAGUGCUGCAGUUAACGCAUUAAGUACUCCGCCUGAGUAGUACGUACGCAAGUAUGAAACUCAAAGGAAUUGACGGGACCCCGCACAAGCGGUGGAUCAUGUUGUUUAAUUCGACGAUACACGAAAAACCUUACCAGGUCUUGACAUACCAUGCAAAGGCUUAGAAAUAAGUACGGAGGUUAACAUGGAUACAGGUGGUGCACGGUUGUCGUCAGCUCGUGUCGUGAGAUGUUGGGUUAAGUCCCGCAACGAGCGCAACCCUUAUUGCUAGUUACCAUCAUUAAGUUGGGGACUCUAGCGAGACUGCCAGUGAUAAACUGGAGGAAGGUGGGGAUGACGUCAAAUCAUCAUGCCCCUUAUGACCUGGGCUACAAACGUGAUACAAUGGCUGAAACAAAGGGAAGCGAUACCGCGAGGUGGAGCGAAUCCCAAAAAAGCAGUCUCAGUUCGGAUUGAAGUCUGCAACUCGACUUC